UACGUAGGUGGCGAGCGUUGUCCGGAAUUACUGGGUGUAAAGGGCGUGUAGGCGGGGAUGUAAGUCAGAUGUGAAAUACCGAGGCUUAACUUCGGGGCUGCAUCUGAAACUACGUUUCUUGAGUGUCGGAGAGGAAAGCGGAAUUCCCAGUGUAGCGGUGAAAUGCGUAGAUAUUGGGAGGAACACCAGUGGCGAAGGCGGCUUUCUGGACGAUAACUGACGCUGAGGCGCGAAAGCGUGGGGAG
This 245-nucleotide ribosomal RNA is filed under the name uncultured Oscillospiraceae bacterium. RNAcentral describes it as "partial 16S ribosomal RNA". It matches the Rfam family "Bacterial small subunit ribosomal RNA", at positions 524 to 768 of the family's 1533-position model. The record is from RNAcentral. Lineage: Bacteria; Bacillati; Bacillota; Clostridia; Eubacteriales; Oscillospiraceae.